GGGGUAUUAGCGCAGCUGGAAGCGCACCACACUGGCAGUGUGGGGGUCAGGGGUUCAAAUCCCCUAUACUCCACCA
RNAcentral lists this transfer RNA (76 nucleotides) under Ruminococcaceae bacterium FB2012. RNAcentral describes it as "tRNA_Ala_GGC". It matches the Rfam family "tRNA". From Rfam's summary of the family: Transfer RNA (tRNA) molecules are approximately 80 nucleotides in length. Lineage: Bacteria; Bacillati; Bacillota; Clostridia; Eubacteriales; Oscillospiraceae. The record is from RNAcentral. RNAcentral also lists the same sequence under 1 other name.